Molecule: long non-coding RNA, 243 nt
Organism: Oreochromis aureus
Lineage: Eukaryota; Metazoa; Chordata; Actinopteri; Cichliformes; Cichlidae
Exons: 3
Source: RefSeq, a predicted model, not a curated record
ACUGGAAAACCAGCACCUGGGCCCUGUUUCAGAAAGCCGGUUUAGUGCAAACUCUGAGGUUCCCAGGCGUGAUUGGCUGUAUAGAUGGCACUCACAUUCCAAUCAUUGCCCCUUCAGUAAAUGAAGGAGACUAUGUGAACAGGAAGUCUUUCCACAGCAUUAAUGUACAGAUCAUAUGUGAUGCUGCCAACAUUAUCACAAAUGUGGAAGCCAAGUGGCCAGGCUCUGUUCAUGACUCACGAA